Molecule: ribosomal RNA, 701 nt
Filed under: uncultured bacterium
Lineage: Bacteria
Description: bacterial SSU rRNA
Rfam family: Bacterial small subunit ribosomal RNA
Source: RNAcentral
ACGCUGGCGGCAGGCCUAACACAUGCAAGUCGAGCGGUAGAGAGAAGCUUGCUUCUCUUGAGAGCGGCGGACGGGUGAGUAAUGCCUAGGAAUCUGCCUGGUAGUGGGGGAUAACGUUCGGAAACGGACGCUAAUACCGCAUACGUCCUACGGGAGAAAGCAGGGGACCUUCGGGCCUUGCGCUAUCAGAUGAGCCUAGGUCGGAUUAGCUAGUUGGUGGGGUAAUGGCUCACCAAGGCGACGAUCCGUAACUGGUCUGAGAGGAUGAUCAGUCACACUGGAACUGAGACACGGUCCAGACUCCUACGGGAGGCAGCAGUGGGGAAUAUUGGACAAUGGGCGAAAGCCUGAUCCAGCCAUGCCGCGUGUGUGAAGAAGGUCUUCGGAUUGUAAAGCACUUUAAGUUGGGAGGAAGGGCAGUAAAUUAAUACUUUGCUGUUUUGACGUUACCGACAGAAUAAGCACCGGCUAACUCUGUGCCAGCAGCCGCGGUAAUACAGAGGGUGCAAGCGUUAAUCGGAAUUACUGGGCGUAAAGCGCGCGUAGGUGGUUCGUUAGGUUGGAUGUGAAAUCCCCGGGCUCAACCUGGGAACUGCAUUCAAAACUGUCGAGCUAGAGUAUGGUAGAGGGUGGUGGAAUUUCCUGUGUAGCGGUGAAAUGCGUAGAUAUAGGAAGGAACACCAGUGGCGAAGGCGACCACC